GAUGAACGCUGGCGGCGUGCUUAACACAUGCAAGUCGAACGGAGUUAAAAGUGGAAGUUUUCGGAUGGAAGCUUUUAGCUUAGUGGCGGACGGGUGAGUAACGCGUGGGUAACCUGCCUUAUACAGGGGGAUAACAGCUGGAAACGGCUGCUAAUACCGCAUAAGCGCACAGUGCUGCAUGGCACAGUGUGAAAAGAUUCAUCGGUAUAAGAUGGACCCGCGUCUGAUUAGCUAGUUGGUGGGGUAAUGGCCUACCAAGGCAACGAUCAGUAGCCGGCUUGAGAGAGUGAACGGCCACAUUGGGACUGAGACACGGCCCAAACUCCUACGGGAGGCAGCAGUGGGGAAUAUUGCACAAUGGGGGAAACCCUGAUGCAGCGACGCCGCGUGAGUGAAGAAGUAUUUCGGUAUGUAAAGCUCUAUCAGCAGGGACGAAAGGGAGGCAACUCCUGUGACGGUACCUGACUAAGAAGCCCCGGCUAACUACGUG
This 490-nucleotide ribosomal RNA is filed under the name uncultured organism. Its description in RNAcentral is "bacterial SSU rRNA". It matches the Rfam family "Bacterial small subunit ribosomal RNA", at positions 28 to 507 of the family's 1533-position model. The record is from RNAcentral.